This is a long non-coding RNA of Olea europaea var. sylvestris, 667 nucleotides long. RefSeq lists it as uncharacterized. The transcript has 2 exons. The record is from RefSeq and is a predicted model, not a curated record. Lineage: Eukaryota; Viridiplantae; Streptophyta; Magnoliopsida; Lamiales; Oleaceae.
GCAUGUGCUUUGUACAACAAUUGGUGGCCAAUGUUAACAGUAUUAAUGUAUGUUCUUCUACCUAUGCCUCUGAUUUUCUUUGCUGGGUAGCAAGUAGGUAAAGCUUUCUCCUUCAAAACUGAUCGUUUUAUUUUUUCUAGAAUCAUAAAAGUUAUGGCAUCAUUCUCAGUUUAAUGAAAAUUGUCUAUAUGACUAUAUAUAUAUGUAUUUCGACCUCAUACUUGCGUUUUUUACAAUCACACCAAGCAACAGUUGGGUUGAUGCGACAAAGUUCUUGACUGGAGCUUCAGCUGUUGGCAGUAUUGCUAUACCAAUUAUUUUAAAGCAUGCUGGCGUAAUUGGUUGGGGAGCCAUGGCAAUGGAACUCUCAUCGUUUUUCAUACUUGUCAUGGCCAUUUUGUGUUACCUUGGAACAAGCAAUGACGAUGGAUACAGUACAUUUUGAAGUACAAAACCUUUAUUUGGGAUAAGGAGGUUUCUUUUGCCAGCGAGUGUUGUUUGCUUGAGCAUGUGCUCCUGUGAUUGUGAUUUGUAUAUGCAUGUGUUUACAUUCAUAGAUUGUUCGUUAUCAAAAGAUGUUGAAGUGGUUAUCCACUAGAUAACAGCGAUGAAUGUACUUUGAUUGGAUACUCGAAAUUUGUUUAUAAAAUGAAGCCUUUUGACAUUA